Chrysemys picta bellii (western painted turtle) is the source of this 3219-nucleotide non-coding RNA. Lineage: Eukaryota; Metazoa; Chordata; Testudines; Emydidae. The record is from RefSeq and is a predicted model, not a curated record.
UAGGUGAUCUAAUGGUCCCUUCUGGUCUUAAAUGUUUUUUUAACUCGACAAAAAUUUUGCAGAAUUAUAGCUUCCACUAAUAUACGGUUAUGGGACUGCAAUGAUGGGAAGCUCUGCUAGCUAGAGAACAUGGCCUUUGCUAUUUAAUUAGUCACAUUAUGUGCAGCUUUUCUUCUACGCAAUAGAUUUUGAAUUUAUAUUUAUUGCUUUAACAACUAGAAGACAAAACCAGAAAAAAGUCUAAUCUACCUCAUUAUUGAGAAAAGCAAGACCAAAAUCGAACAAACCCAUAUAUAAAUGGGAGAAAGCUAUGAUUUAGGAAAUUUCUUUUUACUCUUAUUACAAGAGGUAGGUUUUGGGGGCGGGGGUGCAGAACCCAGGAAAUUAGUGUUGGUACCUAUAAAGAACAUUAGCAUAUGUCUGGCUAUGUUCUGUUGGCUGCUCCUGGCCUUUCAACCAUCCUGAGAACUUACUGAAGAUGAUUUCUGUAUUGCAUAUCUUUGCAGGCAGGGUUUUUCUCUAAAAAUACUUGAUCACAUUAGAAAUCCCUUUUUCUUCACAGGCUUUUCUUCGGUGUGUGAAAGAUUCAAUUGUGCCACUCAGUUAAUUCCCUGAGAUUCAGUGAAUUCUCUGACUACGUUAUGCUUUUGGGUAAUUGUCUGCAAAAACCCUAUAAAACAUGUAAUUGGAUUUGUUUGUAUAACUCGUAUGCCAAAAUAUUGCUCCAUGACCUUUUACCAUUGAGAGAGAAUAUUUUUCCUCACCUUGGAAAAAUCUGUGACUGCUGAAAGUUUUAUGGCACCCUACAUUCCUUAUUUUCCUGUUUUAAAAAGUAGUACUGAUUAGUAAUACCUAAAUAUAGUAGAGGACGAGUUAAGUGCACAGGUUCCAACUCUUAAUAGGGUUUAUAGGGCAUCAGGAAGUUCAUAUAAUACUUUCAAAAAUAAGUACUGGGCCUUUCCCGCUCUUAAAAUUGCAUCCAGAUGUGGCUCUCUAAACAUGGCAGUGGCUUCACAUGCUGAUGUUUGAGGAGUGAAGAGGAUGUGUUAAAUCAGAUGAUGAUGGUGAUUUUGGCUGUUGUCUCAUCCGUGAAGAUCAUGUCAUUGAACUUCAUGUUGCUUUCAAGCCAUUCUAGGGCUUUGUUUGUUGCAACUGUUAGUACUUGCUGACCUCCUGAAGCAAAGGGCAAUGUGUAUUAAAAGAAUAUUCGAUCUGUUAUAGUUUUUACAUUAUUGUAUUGUACAUCAUACUUUUUCAUACAUUUAAUUUCAGUACUUAUGCUUUAUUUUAUUACAUUCAAUGUCACUGUGUCUUUCUGUAGCACCACCUGUUCUUUUGAUCAAUUCAGUUCACAUUUCUGGGGGUUAUGCCCACCUCAAACUUUCUCCAUGUAUUCAUUGAUCUUAAGUGAAGCUCACAAUCUUCUUUGAAAUCACUUCUCUUUUUGAAUAUCACUUCAAGAUAAAGAAAAAAACCAAAACUAGACCCAAACUGCCUUUUUAUAGUACCAUUUCUCUGUAUUCACCAUAUGCAUUUCCUUGGAGAUCUCCUCUUAUCCAUUGCACGAAGGUCCAGUGACAAAUAUCUCAAAGGACUGGAACAAGAACUUUGGAUACCCAUCCCAGCAAGUAGUGUGUUCCUCUGUGUAGCAUCUCCCAGAGAAUAAUGCUAAACUUUCAGCUAAUCUUGACCAAGUUACAGCUGAUAAAAUUCCUCAUAUUUUCAUGAAAUUUGGUAUACAGCUCUUUUUAAGUAAUCUUUUAAACAGCUUGUGAGCCAAGAUCCACCAAUUAGUGGUCAAGCCUUGCUACUCCCAAUCGUUCCAACAGAAGGCUGCUUGACUCACAAGUGGGGGACAAAGUCAGUUUCUUGGCAGUACCAGCUGGCAUUCCAUCGUGAACUAAUUGCAGCAUGUCAAGAUGGAGCAGUCACAGAUCAUCCAAUGAGACAUGAAGGCUCUUCAGUUCCUUUGUGAAGACAGCGUAAUCAUGGAAUUUAUGGAAACAAGACAUCGGAAGGGUGAUGUUGAGGAAGGUGCCAAAGUAAUACUUCACCAGAAAUGUCCAAGAGAUGACAGGCAGUGAUUUGAAGUAAAAGUUCUCAAGAUAGGAGAUUUCCUCUUCUUUCAAGAGCAUUGGAGAUGUUGUGAUGACUUUGAGAUGGGACAAAAAGUCAAAAGAAAGCAAAGUAAAAUGAAAAUGUAGCUGAGAGAAUAGACAAAAUCAGGGCUAUUGUUGGAAACCCAGUCCAGGAAAUCUUGGAGUGCUGGAAGAGGAGAAAAUGUAUCAUGAACACAGGGAUUGGAAGUCUGAGGGCAUGGAAGUUCCUGGAAUACAUCAAGAAUGCCAUCCUCAACCUGGGCAGGCUUAAGCUACCAUCCUAUGUAGAUGUGUUUGAUUUCCUGAACACCAUCACUGCCAUAUGAGGAUGUGGUGCUCAUCAGUAUACUGACCACGGAGGUGCAGAGAUAAACGUGAGAAAAUCAGAUUCUACAUGCCCAUUUGGGGAAAGAGCUCAAGAAACUAAGUAGGAAAUUGAAACAAUUGAGUCCAAAGCGCAGGCAUGGACUCAGGAAUGGUAGCCAGGGGAGAUUACAUUGCAAGAAUUUGCUGUUGGGCUUCCUGCCUUUCUUAUCUUGCAGUGAUGGACUUACCAGGGAUAUUGCAGACUGAAGAUUGAGUGAACAAGGACAUCAGUGUCUUCAGUGGAUUCUCCUAGAUGUCUGCUCUAUUAGUGCCUGCGCACAGCAUUCUUCAUCUGUGGCUGCUGAAACUUUUCUGCCCUACAUGUAUUCUCAUCCCCAGUUUUUGAUGAUGAGCUGGAGUUCGCUAGUGUAGAGCUGAAUGUUAUUGUUUUGGAAGUCACAAAAAAACACACAAGAUCUUCAGAAACAGCACGGCUGAAGCCUACUGCAAAUAGCCGAGAAAAGCCAGUGUACAAUUGGUCAAUGGAAAAUCUCUACUAUUUGAGAACUUUGUGAGUUGAAGUGGAACAGAAGGAGAACUAUGUUCAGCCUUAAACAAUGACUAGUAUUUUUAAUCACAGUUAAAAUCAGUGAGGGUGGAACAUUUUCAGCAUUCCAUCAUCAAAUCUUAAAAAAUACCCCCAAAAAAACAAAACAAAAAAACACUCCCCCCCCAAAAAAAACCACUGCAGCACAUGGUAAUUGCUUUCCUUUCGAAUUGAAUAAAGUUUUUUUUGUUGAUUGUGUUACUUUAA